UUUUUCUCUCUCUCUUAUUGUAUCCUCUCUCUCUUUCAAAUAUCGAGCUCCCCCUGCUUUCCCUUACACACAAACACAUGCAUACACAAACACACACCUCUUUCUCACUCUCUCUCUCUUUCUCUCUCUGUCUUCUCUUCCACUCUACCCCCCCCUCUCUUUCUUCUCUUUCACCCUCCCUCCUCUCUCUCUCUCUCCCUCUCUCUCCCCAGGCUCUCAGCUCCUGCCUCUAUUUUUAUCCUCGCCCCGCCCCUCCCCUGUCGCUCGGCAGCUAUUUCCAGCUCUGUGAAGCAGCCCAGUCUGUUUGUAAACUCCACGGCUCCACUCUGCUGCUCUCUCUUUCUCUCUCUCUCUUUCUCUCUCUCCCUCGCUCUCUAUUGCUCUCUCGCUCGCUUGAUCACUCCUGUGCCCCCCACAUGCAGCAGAGGGAGGGUGUGGGCAUCAGUUGCAACCAAACAAAUCCAAACUAGCGGAGGACAGAGAGGCUGUUUGGGUUUUUUUCGUGCGACUCGACCGCGACAGAUCGACCGCGGUGGCUCAACGUGCUUUUAUUUUUUGGGAACUACUGUAGCUUCUCAGUCUCUCUCUCAUUCUCUCUAUUCUUCACCUCCAUUCUUCUCAAUCUCUCAUUUUUCUCUUUCUCCCAACCUUACUCACACGUCUCUGUCCCCUUCAUCUCUCUCUCUCCCUCUCUCUACUUCUUGUCUGCACUCUUUCUCUCUCUGUUUCUCUUUCUAUUGCCCUCUUAACCUCUUACUCUUUCUCUCUUUCUCUCUCUCUCUUUCCACACCCCGUCCAUUUCUCUCCCUCUCUCUGUUUCUUGUCUGCUGCGCUCUGUUUCUACCUCUCUUGCUCUGUCUCUCUUUCUCUAUUUAUCCAGGUUAUAUAUCUUGCUUUCUCUCACUCAUUCACUCUCUCUGUUUUUUCUCUUUCUCUUUCAAUCCUUCUUUCUCUCUCCCUCUCUCCAUUUCUUGUCUGCUGCUAGUUCUAUCUCACUCUCUCUCCUUUACUCUGUCUGUUUCUUUUUCCCUUUUCCCCUACCUCUUACUCUCUCUCUCUCUCUAUCUAAUUCUCGCUCUGCACCCCCUCCAUCUCUCUCUCUCUCCCUCGCUCUCUCUCUCUCUCUGUGAUCUCAUUUGCUGCUCUCACCGCAAGGAAAAGAAGGCAUCCAGUCAAACUCCGGACUUACCGCAGACACAGCUCAGGAACCGUGCCGGAUACGAGCGCGCAGUAGUGAACGGAAUAAUGACAGACGCUCUCGUUUGA
This 1266-nucleotide long non-coding RNA is filed under the name Astyanax mexicanus (Mexican tetra). RNAcentral's name for it is "lncRNA (ENSAMXG00005000193.1)". Lineage: Eukaryota; Metazoa; Chordata; Actinopteri; Characiformes; Acestrorhamphidae. The record is from RNAcentral.